Molecule: unclassified non-coding RNA, 215 nt
Filed under: Hevea brasiliensis (rubber tree)
Lineage: Eukaryota; Viridiplantae; Streptophyta; Magnoliopsida; Malpighiales; Euphorbiaceae
Source: RNAcentral
GAUGAGUAUUAAAAGGUUGCAUUCCUUUGCAAGGAAUCUAAAUCUAUCAAACAAAGGCUGUUCAAAUUUUGAAGCCAAAUUCGUAAACCUGACUAAGACACUUGGUUUAUGGGCUUGUGGACUGCCGGUAUGGGUGUGCAAAAAUGAUGCCUUUGCACCGUGUUAUAUGUAUAUAUGAAGUUACGCUCACACAAUAACUUGGAUAUUGGAUCAGG